Molecule: long non-coding RNA, 1492 nt
Filed under: Athene cunicularia (burrowing owl)
Lineage: Eukaryota; Metazoa; Chordata; Aves; Strigiformes; Strigidae
Description: lncRNA (ENSACUG00000005898.1)
Source: RNAcentral
UUUUUCACAUAAGCUUAGAUUCAUUUGAUGAAGAUAGAACUCUUCUGGGCAUUUUGAAUUUAAGGGAGAUACGACUGGGGUUCUGGUCUGACAUAUCCAUUCUGGUUUAGUUGCUAAAGCAGAGAAGUGUUAGCGGAUUGAAAGCAGAAGAUAUUAAAUGAAUCUCCCUUAAAAUUCUACAUGGUCAAUCCCUUUUCCCAUUCCUUUUCUGCCGAGUUUAACGUCUUUUCUUGCUAUUGUUGUUGCUUCUAGGUUUUCCCUCACUGCAGGCUGAUGGAUUGGCAAAUGCUAGUUUACAGAGCACUCCGCCCCCACCUCCGCCCAAAAGCAAACCCUACGAGAACAGCAACCCGAGGAAUUCUGUGGAGGUUGCUCCACCACUACCCACCAGACGUGAAGCCAAACCUCCCCCCCCACCCCCAAAAACCAGAAAAUCCAGCGUUGUCUCUUCAGAGCAAGGACUGCAGUGAGGAUCAUCACUUGCUGGCGUAGCAGCAAGCGCCUAGAGUGAAACGGCUGCUUUCUUUCACUGACACACCGGGGCUCUCUGACCCGAAAGACUCGCGAUCUCACCUGCCAUUCCAUUCACCCCCCUCAGAGAUUUCUCUGGGAAAUACCAAAAGGAACUAUUGUUGUGACUCUAUUCCCUAACCUCUGGUUUACCUUUCCAGUACUGAGACACUAAUCACAGAGCAGGAGGAGUCGUCCUACUGGAAUUCUUGGCUUUGUCUGUCCUGAGUUGGUUUUGUUUCACUGAUGCAAUUGCAGCGGCUCAUUCCUAGUGUAAAUCUGUCACGGUAGUGAUUUGCACCAGUGUUUGGAACAAGGUAAGCCACACCAGGGUGAGAAGUGCCCUGCAGGAUUUUCACAGGGACUUUGCAGCCGUGCUGGCGCAGGGGUCCCGUCCCGGAGCGUCACCAAGCCCCGCUUGUGUGAAGUGAAGCAGAUCCCAGCCGCUCCGGGCUGUGAAGUGUCGGCUCCUGAGACGUCAGGUGCCCGUGUAUGAUGUGCAGUCUCCUAAGAUUUUUGAUUGCAGGCAGAGACCUGAGCUCUGUUAGCGGAACGAGAACUCUUUUUUUUCCUGCUAGUCGUCAUAUGUAUUUAGGAUGAAGUGCAGACCUUCUGCCUUCCACCGUCUCUUCGAGUAGUGGCAGUUGCUCGCUCCCAAUGGAGAGUUUAGGUUCACCAGUACUUUGUCAUAAUUUCACUGUUGAUUCUGGUUUUAACACUAUAGAGCAGUUGAUACUCCUCCCUGAAUUAUGUUACCUCCUUGGUUUGUGCUUGCAUCUGGGACCUGGUACGAUAUUUCAUCUUUGUGCCUUUUAGUAGGGUGUAAAAAGUUGCGUCUCCUGUGAAUGUGUGAGAAGAAUAGAAGCUGCGUUGAUACCAGCACUGUGCUGGUACCAGCGACUUGGAGAGGGUGGAGUAUGCAAAACUAGUUACACAUCCUGACCUCAACAACAGUCUGAUAGCUACUGAAACCUUUACUUUG